UACGAAGGGGGCUAGCGUUGCUCGGAAUCACUGGGUGUAAAGCGCACGUAGGCGGCUUUCUAAGUCAGGGGUGAAAUCCUGGAGCUCAACUCCAGAACUGCCUUUGAUACUGGGGAGCUCGAGUCCGGAAGAGGUGAGUGGAACUCCGAGUGUAGAGGUGAAAUUCGUAGAUAUUCGGAAGAACACCAGUGGCGAAGGCGGCUCACUGGUCCGGUACUGACGCUGAGGUGCGAAAGCGUGGGGAGCAAACAGG
This 253-nucleotide ribosomal RNA is filed under the name uncultured bacterium. RNAcentral describes it as "partial 16S ribosomal RNA". It matches the Rfam family "Bacterial small subunit ribosomal RNA", at positions 524 to 776 of the family's 1533-position model. The record is from RNAcentral.